Molecule: long non-coding RNA, 390 nt
Organism: Danaus plexippus (monarch butterfly)
Lineage: Eukaryota; Metazoa; Arthropoda; Insecta; Lepidoptera; Nymphalidae
Exons: 3
Source: RefSeq, a predicted model, not a curated record
AUCACGUCAGUUCGCCUUGCAGCUGAGGUGUACGUCAAUGCUGGUCUCGAUGGAAUUUCUCUACGCAGUCUCUCAAUUAACUUCAGCCUUGGUGGAAUUGAGUCCGACUUGUUUUUGGAGAUGCAAGGAAACGACCGCUCUGAUGUCGUCAACAAUUUCCUUAACAAGAGAAUUCCUGAAUUCCUGAAGGACAACGAGAGGGAUAUCAACAGGGUCCUUGAGGAGGUUGUCAGCUUCAUUCUUAACGUCAUUUGGAGCUCUUAAGAAAUAGUGUUUUAGUUCUGAGUCGUGGAAUUUAUAAAAUAAAUAUAUUUUCUUAAGGGAUAUGUAGUUUCUAUUACGACUAUAAAUAUGUAGAUGGAAGGAAUAUACAAAUAAUAACCAAAAAUA